UAAUACAGAGGGUGCGAGCGUUGUCCGGAAUCACUGGGCGUAAAGGGCGCGUAGGCGGCCUGGUAAGUAGGGGGUGAAAUCUUGCGGCUCAACUGCAAGGCUGCCUCCUAAACUGCCGGGCUGGAGCACGGUAGAGGCAGAUGGAAUUCCCGGUGUAGCGGUGGAAUGCGUAGAGAUCGGGAAGAACAUCGGUGGCGAAGGCGGUCUGCUGGGCCGUUGCUGACGCUGAGG
This 231-nucleotide ribosomal RNA is filed under the name uncultured bacterium. RNAcentral describes it as "partial 16S ribosomal RNA". It matches the Rfam family "Bacterial small subunit ribosomal RNA", at positions 521 to 751 of the family's 1533-position model. The record is from RNAcentral.